This is a non-coding RNA of Rhododendron molle, 73 nucleotides long. The record is from the annotation of a GenBank genome assembly. NCBI's taxonomy places the organism in Eukaryota, Viridiplantae, Streptophyta, Magnoliopsida, Ericales, Ericaceae.
UCCUUUGGUAGUUCAGUGGUAAAAUGUUUGCUCUUCUACAUAAAAUGCCUAGGUUUAAAUCCUGGUAGGGUAA